GACGAACGCUGGCGGCGUGCCUAAUACAUGCAAGUAGAACGCUGAAGGAGGAGCUUGCUUCUCUGGAUGAGUUGCGAACGGGUGAGUAACGCGUAGGUAACCUGCCUGGUAGCGGGGGAUAACUAUUGGAAACGAUAGCUAAUACCGCAUAAUAGUAGAUGUCGCAUGACAUUUGCUUAAAAGGUGCACUUGCAUCACUACCAGAUGGCCCUGCGUUGUAUUAGCUAGUUGGUGAGGUAACGGCUCACCAAGGCAACGAUACAUAGCCGACCUGAGAGGGUGAUCGGCCACACUGGGACUGAGACACGGCCCAGAAUCCUACGGGAGGCAGCAGUAGGGAAACUUCGGCAAUGGACGGAAGGCUGACCGAACAACGCCGCGUGAGUGAAGAAGGUUUUCGGAUCGUAAAGCUCUGUUGUAAGAGAAGAACGAGUGUGAGAGUGGAAAGUUCACACUGUGACGGUAUCUUACCAGAAAGGGACGGCUAACUACGUG
This 495-nucleotide ribosomal RNA is filed under the name uncultured bacterium. RNAcentral's name for it is "partial 16S ribosomal RNA". It matches the Rfam family "Bacterial small subunit ribosomal RNA", at positions 28 to 507 of the family's 1533-position model. The record is from RNAcentral.